GAGACAGCAGUCGCCGCGGUAAUACGUAGGUGGCAAGCGUUGUCCGGAAUUAUUGGGCGUAAAGGGCUCGCAGGCGGUUCCUUAAGUCUGAUGUGAAAGCCCCCGGCUCAACCGGGGAGGGUCAUUGGAAACUGGGAAACUUGAGUGCAGAAGAGGAGAGUGGAAUUCCACGUGUAGCGGUGAAAUGCGUAGAGAUGUGGAGGAACACCAGUGGCGAAGGCGACUCUCUGGUCUGUAACUGACGCUGAGGAGCGAAAGCGUGGGGAGCGAACAGGAUUAGAUACCCGUGUAGUCCCUGUCUCUUAUAC
This 308-nucleotide ribosomal RNA is filed under the name uncultured bacterium. RNAcentral's name for it is "partial 16S ribosomal RNA". It matches the Rfam family "Bacterial small subunit ribosomal RNA", at positions 505 to 807 of the family's 1533-position model. The record is from RNAcentral.